UCGGAACGUGUCCUCUUGUGGGGGAUAACCAGUCGAAAGACUGGCUAAUACCGCAUGAGAUCGCAAGAUGAAAGCAGGGGACCCGCAAGGGCCUUGCGCGAGAGGAGCGGCCGAUGCCCGAUUAGCUAGUUGGUGGGGUAAAAGCCUACCAAGGCGACGAUCGGUAGCUGGUCUCAGAGGAUGAUCAGCCAGACUGGGACUGAGACACGGCCCAG
Molecule: ribosomal RNA, 215 nt
Filed under: uncultured bacterium
Lineage: Bacteria
Description: partial 16S ribosomal RNA
Rfam family: Bacterial small subunit ribosomal RNA
Source: RNAcentral